CAGCAGCCGCGGUAAUACGUAGGGUGCGAGCGUUAAUCGGAAUUACUGGGCGUAAAGCGUGCGCAGGCGGUUCGUUAAGACAGAUGUGAAAUCCCCGGGCUUAACCUGGGAACUGCAUUUGUGACUGGCGGGCUAGAGUAUGGCAGAGGGGGGUAGAAUUCCACGUGUAGCAGUGAAAUGCGUAGAGAUGUGGAGGAACACCGAUGGCGAAGGCAGCCCCCUGGGCCAAUACUGACGCUCAUGCACGAAAGCGUGGGGAGCAAACAGGAUUAGAUACCCCUGUAGUCCCUGUCUCUUAUAC
RNAcentral lists this ribosomal RNA (301 nucleotides) under uncultured bacterium. RNAcentral's name for it is "partial 16S ribosomal RNA". It matches the Rfam family "Bacterial small subunit ribosomal RNA", at positions 509 to 807 of the family's 1533-position model. The record is from RNAcentral.